RNAcentral lists this ribosomal RNA (588 nucleotides) under Procapra picticaudata (Tibetan gazelle). Its description in RNAcentral is "partial 16S ribosomal RNA". It matches the Rfam family "Bacterial large subunit ribosomal RNA", at positions 1798 to 2619 of the family's 2925-position model. The record is from RNAcentral. Lineage: Eukaryota; Metazoa; Chordata; Mammalia; Artiodactyla; Bovidae.
GCCUGUUUACCAAAAACAUCACCUCCAGCAUUACCAGUAUUGGAGGCACUGCCUGCCCAGUGACAGACGUUAAACGGCCGCGGUAUCCUGACCGUGCAAAGGUAGCAUAAUCAUUUGUUCUUUAAAUAAGGACUUGUAUGAAUGGCCACACGAGGGUUUUACUGUCUCUUACUUCCAAUCAGUGAAAUUGACCUUCCCGUGAAGAGGCGGGAAUAAACAAAUAAGACGAGAAGACCCUAUGGAGCUUCAACUAACUAGUCCAAAGAACAUAAACUUAACCAUUAAGGGAUAAUAACAUUCUCCAUGAACUAGCAGUUUCGGUUGGGGUGACCUCGGAGAACAAACAAUCCUCCGAGCGAUUUUAAAGACAAGACACACAAGUCAAAUCAUUCUAUCGCUUAUUGAUCCAAAAACUUGAUCAACGGAACAAGUUACCCUAGGGAUAACAGCGCAAUCCUAUUCAAGAGUCCAUAUCGACAAUAGGGUUUACGACCUCGAUGUUGGAUCAGGACACCCCGAUGGUGCAACCGCUAUCAAAGGUUCGUUUGUUCAACGAUUAAAGUCCUACGUGAUGUGAGUUCAGACCGG